RNAcentral lists this ribosomal RNA (539 nucleotides) under uncultured bacterium. RNAcentral's name for it is "partial 16S ribosomal RNA". It matches the Rfam family "Bacterial small subunit ribosomal RNA", at positions 355 to 887 of the family's 1533-position model. The record is from RNAcentral.
UGGGGAAUUUUGGACAAUGGGGGAAACCCUGAUCCAGCCAUCCCGCGUGUGCGAUGAAGGCCUUCGGGUUGUAAAGCACUUUUGGCAGGAAAGAAACGUCGCGGGUUAAUACCCCGCGAAACUGACGGUACCUGCAGAAUAAGCACCGGCUAACUACGUGCCAGCAGCCGCGGUAAUACGUAGGGUGCAAGCGUUAAUCGGAAUUACUGGGCGUAAAGCGUGCGCAGGCGGUUCGGAAAGAAAGAUGUGAAAUCCCAGAGCUUAACUUUGGAACUGCAUUUUUAACUACCGGGCUAGAGUGUGUCAGAGGGAGGUGGAAUUCCGCGUGUAGCAGUGAAAUGCGUAGAUAUGCGGAGGAACACCGAUGGCGAAGGCAGCCUCUGGGAUAACACUGACGCUCAUGCACGAAAGCGUGGGGAGCAAACAGGAUUAGAUACCCUGGUAGUCCACGCCCUAAACGAUGUCAACUAGCUGUUGGGGGCCUUCGGGCCUUGGUAGCGCAGCUAACGCGUGAAGUUGACCGCCUGGGGAGUACGGUC